AAGGCUCAAACUUGAUUUUAAGUAGACAUGAGUGGUAUUUAUGUUAUACAUCAUUCAUAAUACUGCUAAUGUUUCCUGUGACUCGCUGUUUGAAAACU
Tribolium castaneum (red flour beetle) is the source of this 98-nucleotide non-coding RNA. The record is from RefSeq and is marked provisional. NCBI's taxonomy places the organism in Eukaryota, Metazoa, Arthropoda, Insecta, Coleoptera, Tenebrionidae.